AGAGUUUGAUCAUGGCUCAGGACGUACGCUGGCGGCGUGCUCUAAUACAUGCAAGUCGAGCGGACCAAUUAGAAUAGCUUGCUUUUUGAUUGGUUAGCGGCGGACGGGUGAGUAACACGUGGGUAACCUGCCCUAUAGACCGGCGAUAACUCGCUGGAAACGCGUGCUAAUACCGGAUAACACACCGAACGCGCAUGCUUCGGUGUUGAAUAGAUGGUUCUGCUAUCACUAUAGGAUGGGCCCGCGGCGCAUUAGCUAGUUGGUGGGGUAACGGCCUACCAAGGCGACGAUGCGUAGCCGACCUGAGAGGGUGAUCGGCCACACUGGGACUGAGACACGGCCCAGACUCCUACGGGAGGCAGCAGUAGGGAAUCUUCCACAAUGGGCGAAAGCCAUGAUGGAGCAACGCCGCGUGAGCGAAGAAGGUCUUCGGAUCGUAAAGCUCUGUUGUAAGGGAAGACACAAGCGCAGCAGUCACUGGCUGCGCCCUGACGGUACUCUUACUAGCAAGCCACGGCUA
This 520-nucleotide ribosomal RNA is filed under the name Ureibacillus sp. N-18-55-12. Its description in RNAcentral is "bacterial SSU rRNA". It matches the Rfam family "Bacterial small subunit ribosomal RNA", at positions 8 to 499 of the family's 1533-position model. The record is from RNAcentral. Lineage: Bacteria; Bacillati; Bacillota; Bacilli; Caryophanales; Caryophanaceae.